GUUUUUUUUUCUCAAUGGGAAAGAUAAACAAUGACUUAUUAGCACUAACAAAUCAUUGUUAAAAUUAUCAUAAUUUUAAUAAUAUUUUACUUUUGUCACUAACUCCUGUUUGUAUAUAUUUUAUUUCUAAAUAUAAAAAGAAAGGUGCCUUAAAAAUAAGGGAGAGUUGAGUGUUCAUAUAUGAUCCUGAUUGAUGUCUGUGAGUUAGUCG
This 211-nucleotide unclassified non-coding RNA is filed under the name Hevea brasiliensis (rubber tree). Lineage: Eukaryota; Viridiplantae; Streptophyta; Magnoliopsida; Malpighiales; Euphorbiaceae. The record is from RNAcentral.